GAUGAAGAACGUAGCGAAAUGCGAUAAGUAGUGUGAAUUGCAGAAUUUAGUGAAUCAUCGAAUCUUUGAACGCACAUUGCGCCCUUUGGUAUUCCUUAGGGCAUGUCUGUUCGAGCGUCAUCUACACCCUCAAGCACAGCUUGGUGAUGGGCGCCUGUCCCGCCCCCCACGGGGGCGCGGACUCGCCUCAAAUGCAUUGGCGGCCGGCGACCUGGCUUCGAGCGCAGCAGAAACGCGUACUCGGGGACCGGGCGCCCGCUCCCAGAAGCCAACCCACCCAGUUUGACCUCGGAUCAGGUAGGGAUACCCGCUGAACUUAAGCAUAUCAAUAAGCGGAGGA
Molecule: unclassified non-coding RNA, 340 nt
Filed under: soil metagenome
Description: partial contains 5.8S ribosomal RNA, internal transcribed spacer 2, and large subunit ribosomal RNA
Rfam family: 5.8S ribosomal RNA (bases 1-120)
Source: RNAcentral